CGCUUGCUUUUAGAAAUAGGAUUGCGCCGAGUCUUCCUGGAGAAGAAGGUUUUCUCUGACACCAUACUGGCUAAGGAAAGGGAGACGCUACCUCAUUACUGCCAGGCUCUGUCAUUCUUUCAAAGGUUGUGCCCUGCCCCCUUCCCUCCUGUUUCACAACUGCUGAGCCCACUUGCUGCAACUUCUGAAGCCUGUGUGCCUAGAGCCUGUGCUCUGCAACAAGAGAAGCCACUGCAAUGAGAAACCCGUGCACUGCAACUAGAGAAUAGCCCCCACUUGCUGCAACUAGAGAAAGCCUACAUGCAGCAACAGAGACUCACCACAGCCAAAAAAUAAAUAAAUGACAUCAGGGUUUUUCCGAGUCAACUCUUCACACGAGGUGGCCAAAGUAUUGGAGUUUCAGCUUCAGCAUCAAUCCUUCCAAUGAACACCCAGGACUUAUCUCCUUCAGGAUGGACUGGUUGGAUCUCCUUGAAGUCCAAGGAACUCUCAAGAGUCUUCUCCAACACCACAGUUCAAAAGCAUCAAUUUUUCGGGCCUCAGCUUUCUUCACAGUCCAACUCUCACAUCAUACAUGAUCACUGGAAAAACCAUAGCCUU
Long non-coding RNA from Dama dama (fallow deer), 600 nucleotides. RefSeq lists it as uncharacterized. The record is from RefSeq and is a predicted model, not a curated record. Lineage: Eukaryota; Metazoa; Chordata; Mammalia; Artiodactyla; Cervidae. The transcript is spliced from 4 exons.